GACGAACGCUGGCGGCGUGCUUAACACAUGCAAGUCGAACGAAGUGGCGAACGGGUGAGUAACGCGUAAUCAACCUGCCCUUCAGAGGGGGACAACAGUUGGAAACGACUGCUAAUACCGCAUACUGAAGGAGGGGAUUGCGUCUGAUUAGCUAGUUGGAGGGGUAACGGCCCACCAAGGCGAUGAUCAGUAGGCGGUCUUGGAGGAUGAACGGCCACAGUGGGACCGAGACACGGCCCAGACUCCUACGGGAGGCAGCAGUGAGGAAACUUCCGGAAUGGACGAAAGUCUGACGGAGCAACGCCGCGGUGGUGAGGACGGCCUUCGGGUUGUAAAGCUCUGUUAAUCGGGACGCGGUACCGAACUAGAAAGCCACGGCUAACUACGUGCCAGCAGCCGCGGUAAUUC
RNAcentral lists this ribosomal RNA (408 nucleotides) under uncultured bacterium. RNAcentral's name for it is "partial 16S ribosomal RNA". It matches the Rfam family "Bacterial small subunit ribosomal RNA", at positions 28 to 526 of the family's 1533-position model. The record is from RNAcentral.